GUGCUCACUUUAGCAGCACAUAUAUUAAAAUUGAAACAAUACAGAGAAGAUUUGCAUGGCCCCUAAUCAAUGAUGACAUGUAAAUUGACAAAGUGUUCCACAUUUUU
Pteropus vampyrus (large flying fox) is the source of this 107-nucleotide small nuclear RNA. NCBI's taxonomy places the organism in Eukaryota, Metazoa, Chordata, Mammalia, Chiroptera, Pteropodidae. The record is from Ensembl.